Molecule: long non-coding RNA, 271 nt
Filed under: Salvia miltiorrhiza (redroot sage)
Lineage: Eukaryota; Viridiplantae; Streptophyta; Magnoliopsida; Lamiales; Lamiaceae
Description: long non-coding RNA (SMIL_LNC012645)
Source: RNAcentral
CGGUGUGGUGUGAGUCGGGGUCGGGAACGAAUGAAGGAGGCGGUGCUGUUGUUGUAGAGUGGAUGGCGGCACUGUUUCUGUUAUCGCCGACUCGCCGAGAGAUAGGAGAAUUGUGGCUCUUUCACUGACGUGCUCGACUGAGAGAGAGGAAGGCGGCGAAGCUGUUGUUGUAGAGGAGAAGGCGGCGCUGCGAACCGGCGACGCUGUCGCCGAGAGAGAAGAGAUGUGCGGCGGCUGACUUGUGAAGUUGUGGAGGAGAUGUGCGGCGCAG